RNA transcript from Myotis myotis, 8896 nucleotides. It is a transcript of the gene named ubinuclein 2, with no coding region annotated. The transcript has 18 exons. The record is from RefSeq and is a predicted model, not a curated record. Lineage: Eukaryota; Metazoa; Chordata; Mammalia; Chiroptera; Vespertilionidae.
CCCGCUCGCGGCCUGCUUCUAUUUAUGUGGGGGAUCCAACAUGGCGGCUGCGGCGACCCUGGCGAUGGCGGUGGAGCCCGUCAGGACAUAGUGGCGGGGAAGCGGGCACGGUCCGCACUCACGGUGGCGUCGGCGGAAACGGCGGAGGGCGGUGGAGGGAAGAAAAACGACGGAGAGCAAGAGGAAGGGCGGACAAGCAAACAACUCGGCGUAGACCGGAGCGCCGGCGCGAGCGAGGGCAGAGGGCCAGAACAGUAGGGAUGGCGGAGCCACGCAGAGUAGCGUUUAUUAGCCUGUCACCGGUGAGGCGGCGCGAGGCCGAGUUCGCGGGGGCCGAGCGCGAGCCCGAGUACCCUCGCGAGCCCCCCCGGCUGGAGCCGCAGCCGCCGCCGCACCGCGAGCCGGUCCGGGCGGAGCAGCCGGUCCCGCGGGAGGCUGCCCCUCGGUCGGACGCGCAGCCCCCGCCGCGGGAGAAGCCGCUCCCCCAGCGCGAGGGCAGCCGCCCCGAGCCGCCCAUGGCGCUGCAGCGCGAGCCCCCGCGGCCCGAGCCGCCGCCGCCGCCGCUCCCGCAGCUUCCCUUGCAGCCUCCCCCGCCGCGGGAGGCGGCUUCCCGGCCGGAGCCGCCGGCGAGGCCGCCGAGGGAGACGGUGCGCCUGGAGCUGGUGCUCAAGGACCCGACUGACGAGAGCUGCGUGGAGUUCAGUUACCCGGAGCUGCUCCUGUGCGGAGAACAACGGAAGAAGCCCAUUCACACAGAAGACCCAUUUAAUGAUGAGCAUAAAGAGAGGCAAGAAGUGGAAAUGUUGGCUAAGAAGUUUGAAAUGAAAUAUGGUGGGAAACCCCGUAAACAUCGGAAGGAUCGGCUACAAGAUUUAAUUGAUAUAGGCUUUGGCUAUGAUGAGACAGAUCCAUUUAUUGAUAACUCAGAGGCUUAUGAUGAAUUAGUUCCUGCUUCUCUAACAACAAAAUAUGGAGGAUUUUAUAUCAACACUGGCACUCUACAGUUUCGCCAAGCUUCAGAUACUGAAGAAGAAGAUAUUACAGACGACCAAAAGCACAAACCAUCCAAAAUUCCUAAAAUAAAAGAAGACAGCAUUGAGAUAAAGAAGCGGAAGCGGAAAGAGGAAGGAGAAAAGGAUAAGAAGCCAAGGAAAAAAGUACCCAAACAACUGGGAGUUGUAGCUCUGAAUUCACACAAGUCUGAAAAAAAGAAGAAACGUUACAAAGAUUCUCUUUCUCUAGCUGCCAUGAUACGAAAAUUUCAGAAAGAGAAGGAUGCAUUAGAGAAGGAAUCUAACCCUAAAGUCUCAGUGAACUUAAUGAGCACCUCUUUUAAUAAACCCCCCUCUGCUGCUGUAACAUUGGGAAAUGAUGUCUCCGACUUAAACAUGAACAGUGCCGAUCCGGACCUUCCCAUUUUUGUUAGCACAAAUGAACAUGAACUCUUUCAAGAAGCUGAAAGUGCCCUAAAGAUACUAGAUGAUAUUGACUUUGACAGAUUAUUGGAUGCUACUUCUGAUGGUAGCCCCCUCUCUGAGUCAGGGGGAGAGAAUGGAAACACCACCCAGCCAACCUACGCCUCUCAGGUUAUGCCCAAGGUGGUACCUAUACUCCCAGAGGGUUUACCUGUCCUUCUUGAAAAACGUAUUGAAGACCUCCGUGUAGCUGCCAAACUUUUUGAUGAAGAAGGAAGGAAAAAAUUCUUUACACAGGAUAUGAAUAAUAUUCUUCUGGACAUUGAGUUACAGCUGCAGGAACUAGGCCCCGUCAUUCGUAGUGGUGUCUACGCCCAUCUUGAAGCGUUUGUGCCAUGCAAUAAAGAAACACUGGUAAAGCGUCUAAAGAAGCUACAUCUUAACGUCCAGGAUGAUCGUUUAAGAGAACCUCUGCAAAAACUGAAACUGGCUGUUAGCAAUGUCAUGCCUCAACAGCUAUUUAAAUACCAGGAGGACUGCCAGGCUCGUAGUCAAGCUAAGUGUGCCAAGUUGCAAACAGAUGAAGAACGAGAAAAAAAUGGAUCCGAGGAAGAUGAUGAUGAGAAACCAGGGAAACGUGUCAUAGGACCAAGAAAGAAAUUCCACUGGGAUGACACCAUUAGAACUUUGUUAUGUAACCUUGUUGAGAUCAAAUUGGGAUGCUAUGAGUUAGAGCCAAAUAAAAGCCAGUCUGCUGAGGAUUAUCUUAAAUCCUUUAUGGAGACAGAGGUGAAACCAUUGUGGCCUAAGGGCUGGAUGCAGGCAAGAAUGCUUUUUAAGGAAAGUCGGAGUGUACAUAAUCAUCUUACUUCUGCCCCGGCAAAGAAAAAGGUGAUUCCUGCACCUAAACCCAAAGUAAAGGAGUGUAGUCCAAAAAAGGACCAGAAAACUCCUGCAUCCUUGGUGGCUUCAAUUGGUGGUCCUUCAAGUUCUGUCACAUCUGCCAUGGCCUCCACCAGCUCUAGCUCUACUCCAGCCCAGGAGACGAUCUGCCUUGAUGACUCACUAGAUGAAGACCUUUCUUUCCACCCACCUGCACUGGAUCUUGUUUCUGAAGCUUUAGCUGUUAUCAACAAUGGGAACAAGGGCCCUCCAGCUGGCUCAAAGAUAAGCAUGCCAGCUGCAAAACCUCGUCCAGGACUGAGAGAAGAAAAAUUAGCAAGUAUAAUGAGUAAGCUGCCACUGGCUACUCCCAAAAAACUAGAUUCUGCUCAGACUGCACAUUCAUCUAGUCUUAUUGCUGGUCACACCGGGCCAGUACCAAAGAAACCCCAGGAUUUAGCUCAUACUGGCAUCUCUUCAGGCCUUAUUGCUGGUUCUUCAAUUCAGAACCCUAAAGUUUCCUUAGAACCUUUGCCAGCCAGGCUACUUCAACAAGGACUACAGAGGUCAAGCCAGAUUCAUGCUUCUUCCUCUUCACAGACCCAUGUCUCCUCUUCCUCCCAAGCCCAAGUUGCUGCCUCCUCUCACGCUCUGGGAACAUCAGAGGCCCAAGAUGCUUCUUCGUUAACACAAGUAACAAAGGUGCACCAGCAUUCAGCUGUCCAACAAAAUUAUGUGUCUCCACUGCAAGCAACCAUUAGUAAAUCACAGAGCAACCCAGUGGUGAAAUUAAGUAAUAAUCCCCAGCUUUCCUGUUCAUCCCCACUUGUUAAGACUUCAGAUAAGUCACUUAUGUACCGCCUUCCCUUACCUACUCCCUCACCUGGAAAUGGUUCUCAAGGGUCCCACUCCCUGGUUUCUAGGACAGUACCUAGCACCACUACCUCCAGUAACUACUUAGCUAAGGCUAUGGUGUCACAAAUCUCCACGCAGGGUUUCAAAUCUCCCUUCUCAAUGGCUGCAUCCCCAAAACUUGCCGCAUCUCCCAAACCUGCCACAUCCCCUAAACCUUUGCCCUCACCUAAGCCUUCUGCCUCCCCCAAGCCCUCUCUGUCAGCUAAGCCUUCAGUAUCAACUAAACUUAUUUCUAAAUCGAACCCAACUCCCAAGCCUACUGUAUCCUCAAGUUCUUCCAGUCCAAGUGCACUAGUAGCCCAGAGUAGCCACUCCAGCAGUAACAACCCAGUCCAUAAACAACCCAGUGGAAUAAAUAUCAGCAGACAGUCUCCCACCUUGAAUUUAUUGCCCUCUAAUCGCACUUCAGGCCUUCCGUCUACAAAAAAUCUUCAGGCCUCAUCAAAGCUACCAAACUCAUCAUCCACUGGAACUGUUGGGAAGAAUAGCUUGAGUGGAAUUGCAGUGAAUGCACCUGCCAGCAGAGGUAGCAACCUUAACUCAAGCGGAGCUAAUAGGACUAGUCUAUCUGGGGGAACAGGAGGUGGAACACAGGGUGCUACUAAACCGUUGUCUACUCCACAUAGACCAUCCUCUGCCUCAGGGUCUUCAGUGGUAACAGCCAGUGUGCAGUCCACAGCAGGAGCAUCAUUAUUGGCUAAUGCCUCACCUCUGACUCUCAUGACAUCACCUUUGUCUGUAACAAAUCAAAAUGUGACUCCUUUUGGGAUGCUGGGUGGCCUUGUUCCAGUGACCAUGCCCUUCCAGUUUCCCUUGGAGCUACUUGGCUUUGGAACGGACACAGCUGGAGUGACAACCACCUCGGGAUCUACCUCAGCCGCUCUCCACCAUAGCUUAACUCAGAAUUUACUAAAGGGUUUACAGCCAGGAGCUCAGCAUGCAGCAACACUUUCCCACUCACCUCUGCCUACACAUUUACAGCAAACAUUUAAUGAUGGAGGCCAAAGUAAAGGGGACACUAAAUUGCCACGGAAAUCUCAGUGACUUCCAAACAAGCAAAGGAGAUGAGACACUCAGCUGGCUGAUGGAAUCUACCUGAUGGGAAAGUACUCAUGUGGUCAUAGGGCUGCUGUUCUGUCGAUGUUUACAUUCUCUCGUCCCAAGCACUGUGGUGAGGAGGAAAAAGAAAAGAAAACAUUACUUGAUGUAAAGCCAGGUGCAGGAGGAAGAAAUGUUUUCUUGCAAAAUCUAAAUUGUUUACUACCCAGGGUUGGAAAGGGCAGACACCUCUAGUCUUGCUUCUCUGGUUGCCCUCUACCACACCCCUUUCCAGCUCUACUUGGUUCAAGACAUUUUCUGAAAUGGAAAUUCUACUGUUUUUCAAACUGCCAUUGAUUGUGAGAACUCUGUGUCUCUUGGGAUCACCUCUUAGAACUCCAGUUUUCUAUCAUGUUUGCUGCUACAUUUGUAGAAUGAACUUUGCCUGUAUUGAUCGACUUUAACCUAAUUUACAGUUCUUUAUUUCUAGAGGUUUUGUCUUAUCAUUUGACCCAUGUAUAGAAUUAGGAUACUUUAUUUCAGGAGUAUACCAUAACAGAAUACUGGUCCCUGUAUUUUUAUCUUCACUUAGGCUUUGAAUUUGAGUUUGCUUGUUUUGUUUUGUUUUAAAUUAGAAGAGUGAUAAAACCUAUAAUCAGGCUAAACUCAAAAAGUUCCCUGUGCUUCAGCACUGUCGUUUCUGCUGACCGUCCGUCCUCAGAUGGGGCACUUUUACUUUAUGUUGUGCAUGUAUGAUUGUGUUUGUUUUGUUGUUUUUUGCUUUGGGGGCUUUUGUUUUUGUAAUAAUGAAGCAGAAGAAAAAUGCAGUAGUAGGUCAAUGACUGGUUACAAACAUGUUAUGCAGUUUUAUUUUAUAAAAUCUAAGGGGAAAAGUUUAACUCUCUGUAAAUCAUUUCUUAGCUCUGGUAAAAUGCUUAUAUUGCUCCUCUAAAACAUGCUCAAUUCAGGCCUUUCUCUUUUUUAAGUGCCUUUUUUUCUCUCCCCUCCCCCCACCCUUUUCAAACUGUUCUCAUAUACCCUGAAGUACAGGCUAAUAAGUCAGGGGAUUCAGGAGGAGGAAUCUCAAACUUGCCAACUUCAUGUCAUGCUGUAAUGUUCUUCCUUUUCUUUAUAUGUAUAUGGAUAUGUGUAUAAGAUACAUACAUACAUAUAUAUGUGUAUAUAUAUAUGUAUACAUAUGUAAUAUAUAUAUAAAACUAGUAGCUGCUGUACCAUUGCAUCCUUUCUGAACACUUCCUGUCAGUGUUUGCAAGACUUCUGCCUGUUUAUUCCACUGCUUUUAAUCAAUUCAAAUGGAUAGACUGGGAAAUUGUCUUUCCCCCUAAGAGCAUCUGUUUGUGUGCGUGUGUGUGUGCGUGCAUACAUACAUAUAUAUAUAUAUAUAAAAUAAGUAGUUAUUACAAGUAAAAUAAAUUUAGCCAACUCAUUGACUAUUCCUGGGCUGAACCCACUGCCCUAUGCCCUUCAAACUUGGCAUGAGUAAUACUGGAGAGAGCAUUGGAGUAACAAGUCUUUUGUGGGUCAAGCCAGUAAGGUGCACUAUGGCAGGCAGACAGCCAUGGGGGAGCUAGAGUUAGAAUCAUGAUAUUGUAUUUGAAUAAGUUUUCAAGGAAGUUAGCAACUUUGUCAACAUUGAAACUGCAUUUUGGGGAAAUUCUUUUUGGAGAAUUCAUAUAGCUAUUUUGCAUAUCUGUCAAAGGUUAAUACAUUUAGAAGUAGAAGGACUUCAGGUGCCGGGGAAAACACUCAUAUAACCUAUAGCAUUAUUGAAAGAUCUUCAGUUUUCAUUUGCCAGAUAAUUACAUUUGGCUUAAUCUGCUUUUAUGACUAUUUAAAUCCCUCCCUUGAGCCAAAUAACAUAAUUUUCAGCAUCUAAGAUUCAUUUGUUUUUUGUUGAAAACAUGUUUGACAUGUUAAGGGAGACUAAGUUGAACCAAUCCUCAAAACCCAGUACAAAUAUCUAGUAAGUGCUCCCUCUUAAAUACAUAUUAAUUGGGAAGAGGAGACUAGUGGCUAAAAGGAGAAAGCAGAGGCUCCUGGUAGUGUUACCUGAUAGCAACACUGUUAUUAGGCAGCCUCUGUUUAGUCGUGUUACUCUUGGAUUACUACGUUAGGGGGAAUAUCAUUUAACCUUCGUGCCUCAGAUUACCCAUUAGAAUGUUGGGUAUAAUAAUAUUCACCUACCUCCCAGGGAUAUCAGAGACUUUACUAGUUCAAAAAUACUUUGAGUUUUUCUAAAAUGUCCUAUGUAAUUAAAAAAGUAUUAUCAUCGUCCUGCAGAGGCUAAAGAAUGGGUAUAAAAAGCACCAUUUAAUUUUUAAUUUUAAAAAUAAAUCACUGGAAUUCUAGUUAAGAUACAUAUUUGUUAUUUAAGUAUUUUAUAUUUGUGGUGGGGUAAAAUGGUUACUUUCAGAUUAGUAAGUGGGAAGGGGGAAGUAACACAUUGUUUCUUAAUCAUAUGUAGAUUUUUUUUUUUUUUUUGCCUUUUAUGGUGUUAUUUAUUACAGGUGUGAUUUUUGCCAAGGUUUCAGAGCUGAAACUAUGUAAAAUUUGGAUGGUUUGUCAUUGGAGUUGGUUAAUGAUCCCGAAAGUUUUAUCUGCCUCACGUUUCCAUCUUCUCCAUCUAAUUUUCUUGUAUUAGUUGUUUGGUGAUGCAUAGCAAAGCGUUUAACUAUCUAAGAAAGAAUGGGAGUCUCCUCAUUCUUGUAAAUUGGAGACAGUGUACUGUUCCUGCAACUAUAGGUUUAUCCAUCUUUGCACUGAAGGGGCAAGCACUACACACAGUCAGCAGGGUACACUUCUAGCCAGUUUCCCUUUGUGAUUUAUGUUUCUUCAACCCAUGGAAGAGUUGUAGGAAAUGGGAGAGGGGAGGCAGGAUUCACUUUCUAGCUGGGGCAGGGUUGGGAGACCGGGGGUGGAAGGAAACACGGUUUGCCCAUCUCUGAAGAGGAAAGGAUAGUAAUACAUAGAAUUUUCCUCUAUCAUUUAAACCACAGGAAAAAUGGAUGCUGCCUUUCUAGUUAGGAGUAAAUGCUGAGCAACAAUUGCUGGGGGUUGAGUGCUGAUUUAAAUCGUAGCACAUGUUCAGGAUUAGGAAAGAACAUGAAGGGAGGUGAAGAACAAACUAUCUAGCUCAAGUGAGUCAGGAGAAAGCAGCAGCCCCAGCAGGCAAAGCACUGGACUGAUACCCAGAAUUGCCAAGGCUCAUUUAACCUCUAGUGACGGGACGUUUUUAUUACUUUUUCCAGAUAAGGCCUUAGUAGCCUCUGAGUAUCAACUAUGCAGAUAAAUGUACUCUUUAUUUUACACAUCCUUUCUUAUCCAUUCUUUAAAUAACAUGUUAAGACUUCUACCCAAAGAAAUAAGGCAUUAAGGUUUUGUUGAAUGUGUAUCUGUUCCGCUAGAGAAAAUUAACAGAAGCAUAAAAUAGAGAUAUUUUAUUUGUUCUUCUCUCAUAAAAUGUGAAUCUUAUAUUAAAAAAUUAAGUGCACAUCCUUUCACUGGUGCAAAACUUAGAAUCAUGGAAUACCAUUGGGUUGUUAAGUUACAUUAUCACCCCAGCGUUCAAUUCUGAGAAAGAUUUAGGUUCUGCAGCACAGUGUUCAGGUUCGUAGAACUGAACAGAUUGUCCAACUCUAAUUUAAAAUAGCUUUGAAUAUUAAUGUUGUAUUCUUCUUUAUUUCCUUUAGUCUUCAUUCUUCUUUCCUUUAAUUUGAGCUCUUAAGUUAACCAUUUCGUCAGCCAGUUGCUACACUGGAGUAUUGCGUAUUGCGAAGAAUCUGGGGAGGAAAGGUUAACCUGUCUUUCACCUCCUUUUCUCACUCACAUGGCUAUCUACCCUGUGUCCCAUUGAAUUCAGCAGUAAAGACUACAGUCUGUUCCAGGAGACUGUUCACAUCCCAGCACAGACUGAGAGAGAGACGCUAGGGCUUUAAUUAGACUGCCACUGAAUAACUUGACAUUAAAUUGCUUUUUUCUUAGCUACUCCCAAAGUACCAUUUGCUUGAAAGUAACUAUUUGUGGUCUUUAAUUUCCUCAUACUGUAAUACUUCUACUUUACUUCUCAAUCUUUCUUACAUAUUUUCAGUUUAUAACAGAUUAAUACUUAAGUUUCUGACACUUUCCCGAACUGUUAACCAAACAGGUCAAGAGUACUUUCAGAAGUCUUAGUAGUGUAAUUAACGGGGUUGAUAUUUCCAGGAAUUAGAAUUAUCACUGGUGACCAGAAUUUUUUUUUCUCUUCUCCUUUGUAUUAAAAAAUAGAUUUCUCUACUAUAUAAUGUAGUAGCUGCAGUUUAUGGCUUCUUCUUGAUGCUUUCGAGGUUGUUCAGGCCUUUGUUAGGAGUUUAGUUCUCAUAAUUCUCUGCCUAGCUUUUUUUCAUACUUCCCUGGGGAAAAAAACCUACUUUGCAAAGAGUUAAGUCAAACAGGUCAUAUGAAUCCUUAGUACGAAUUUUAUGUUUUUUUAGAAAACUCUUUCUACAUCAUUUGCUCCCAUUUUGCUAAUAAUAAUAUAAUUCUACUAGAAACCCGAUGCACAAAUUCGUGCACCAGCGGGAUCCCUCGGCCUGGCCUGCGGGAUCAGGCUGAAACCGGCUCUCCAACUUCCCCCGAGGGGUCCCAGA